AGAGUUUGAUCAUGGCUCAGGAUGAACGCUGGCGGCGUGCUUAAUACAUGCAAGUCGAGCGAGGACCACUUGGUGGCAACACCGGGUGGCUCCUAGCGGCGAACGGGUGAGUAACACGUGGGCAACCUGCCCCCGACUCUGGGAUAAGCCCGGGAAACUGGGUCUAAUACCGGAUACGAGCCUCUUCCGCAUGGAGGAGGUUGGAAAGGGUCUCCGGUCGGGGAUGGGCCCGCGGCCUAUCGGCUUGUUGGUGGGGUAACGGCCCACCAAGGCGACGACGGGUAGCCGGCCUGAGAGGGUGAACGGCCACACUCGGACUGAGACACGGCCCAGACUCCUACGGGAGGCAGCAGUAGGGAAUAUUGCGCAAUGGGCGAAAGCCUGACGCAGCGACGCCGCGUGAGGGAUGAAGGCCUUUGGGUUGUAAACCUCUUUCAGCAGGGAAGAAGCGAAAGUGACGGUACCUGCAGAAGAAGCACCGGCUAACUACGUGCCAGCAGCCGCGGUAAUACGUAGGGUGCAAGCGUUGUCCGGAAUUAUUGGGCGUAAAGGGCUCGUAGGCGGUCUGUCGCGUCGGGAGUGAAAACUCAGGGCUUAACCCUGAGCCUGCUUCCGAUACGGGCAGACUAGAGGUAUGCAGGGGAGAACGGAAUUCCUGGUGUAGCGGUGGAAUGCGCAGAUAUCAGGAGGAACACCGGUGGCGAAGGCGGUUCUCUGGGCAUUACCUGACGCUGAGGAGCGAAAGUGUGGGGAGCGAACAGGAUUAGAUACCCUGGUAGUCCACACCGUAAACGUUGGGCGCUAGGUGUGGGACUCAUUCCACGAGUUCCGUGCCGCAGCUAACGCAUUAAGCGCCCCGCCUGGGGAGUACGGCCGCAAGGCUGAAACUCAAAUGAAUUGA
Molecule: ribosomal RNA, 901 nt
Filed under: uncultured bacterium
Lineage: Bacteria
Description: bacterial SSU rRNA
Rfam family: Bacterial small subunit ribosomal RNA
Source: RNAcentral